UUGGAUACUAUUAAUUUAAUUAUUUUAAACCGUUUCAAUAUUUUCAAUAUAUCUAUAAAGGGCCCAUCUGUGUUCGGUUUUUAGCAAAAGGCAUACUAUCGUUUGAAACUAUGGUUGCAAAUGAUCUAUAGGUUUUACGGAAAAAGUAAAAUUGAUUUCAUGUAUGGCCUAUGACAGAAUAUUAUAUUAACUAUAAAUACAUCAUACUUU
Molecule: non-coding RNA, 210 nt
Organism: Cinara cedri
Lineage: Eukaryota; Metazoa; Arthropoda; Insecta; Hemiptera; Aphididae
Source: the annotation of a GenBank genome assembly